This 187-nucleotide long non-coding RNA is filed under the name Capra hircus (goat). Its description in RNAcentral is "lncRNA (ENSCHIG00000000555.1)". Lineage: Eukaryota; Metazoa; Chordata; Mammalia; Artiodactyla; Bovidae. The record is from RNAcentral.
CUGGAACUCUUGGAUAUGUGGUGGUCUGGAGGUGGCUUCACUCUCACCAGGUCCUUCCAUGACUUUCUCAGUGAUGCCACACAGGAAAACUUCCACUCUUAUUCUUCACUUUGAGCCACGUUUCCAUGUUUCGCUGUGAAUACAGAACACCCCACCAGGUCCAGUGACUUGGGAUACAUUCCUUGGC